This 810-nucleotide ribosomal RNA is filed under the name uncultured Planctomycetota bacterium. RNAcentral describes it as "bacterial SSU rRNA". It matches the Rfam family "Bacterial small subunit ribosomal RNA", at positions 46 to 832 of the family's 1533-position model. Lineage: Bacteria; Pseudomonadati; Planctomycetota. The record is from RNAcentral.
GGAUUAGGCAUGCAAGUCGAACGAGAAAGUCCUCUUCGGAGGGCGAGUAAAGUGGCGAACGGGUGAGUAAUGCAUGGAUAACCUACCUCUGAGAAAGGGAUAACUUCUCGAAAGGGAAGCUAAUACCGUAUGAUGUGCCGUGCCUUAGGGCGUUGCACCAAAGAUAGCCUCUGCAUGCAAGCUUUCGCUCAGAGAGGGGUUCAUGUGCUAUUAGCUUGUUGGUGAGGUAACGGCUCACCAAGGCUUCGAUGGCUAGCCGGCCUGAGAGGGUGUCCGGCCACACUGGGACUGAGACACUGCCCAGACUCCUACGGGAGGCUGCAGUCGAGAAUCUUCCGCAAUGCGCGCAAGCGUGACGGAGCGACGCCGCGUGGGUGAUGAAGGCCUUCGGGUCGUAAAGCCCUGUUGCCUGCUAAGAAUGUCGGACGGUGAAUAGCUGUUCCGGUUGACGUCAGCAGGUGAGGAAGCACCGGCUAAAUACGUGCCAGCAGCCGCGGUAACACGUAUGGUGCGAACGUUGUUCGGAAUCACUGGGCAUAAAGAGCACGUAAGCGGUCUGGUAAGUCCGACUGUGAAAUCCCUCGGCUCAACCGAGGAACUGCAUCGGAUACUGCCGAACUCGAGUGCGGUAGGGGAGAGUGGAAUUCCUGGUGGAGCGGUGAAAUGCGUAGAUACCAGGAGGAACGCCGGUGGCGAAAGCGACUCUCUGGGCCGUAACUGACGCUGAGGUGCGAAAGCCAGGGGAGCAAACGGGAUUAGAUACCCCGGUAGUCCUGGCCCUAAACGAUGGGCACUAAGUAGAGGGGUUUU